UGCGGCUGAAGAGCGCUACGACUCCGAGUUCUUCAAGACGUUCCGCAGCCAGAACAUCAUCGCAUCCGCCCUGACCUCCGCCAGGGAGAGCAAUGUCCAAGCUCUGGAUAUCCUGUUCACCUACCAUGGAGCUGAGCUGCUGAAACACAGGCUGGCCAUCAUCAACAACUUCCCAGAAACCACGUCUCCCCACGAGUAUACCAGGCUACUGCCCGAGGCCUGGUGAGACGAGAGUGACACAACACGCACGCACACAUGCACGUGCACACACACACACACACACACACACACACACACACACACACACACACACACACACACACACACACACACACACACACACACACACACACACACACACACACACACACACACACACACACACACACACACACACACACACACACACACACACAAA
Molecule: long non-coding RNA, 418 nt
Organism: Gadus macrocephalus (Pacific cod)
Lineage: Eukaryota; Metazoa; Chordata; Actinopteri; Gadiformes; Gadidae
Exons: 2
Source: RefSeq, a predicted model, not a curated record